ACGGGAGGCAGCAGUGGGGAAUAUUGCACAAUGGGGGAAACCCUGAUGCAGCGACGCCGCGUGAGCGAAGAAGUAUUUCGGUAUGUAAAGCUCUAUCAGCAGGGAAGAAAAUGACGGUACCUGACUAAGAAGCCCCGGCUAACUACGUGCCAGCAGCCGCGGUAAUACGUAGGGGGCAAGCGUUAUCCGGAUUUACUGGGUGUAAAGGGUGCGUAGGCGGCAUGGCAAGUCAGAUGUGAAAGACCGGGGCUCAACUCCGGGGCUGCAUUUGAAACUGCCAGGCUGGAGUACAGGAGAGGCAGGCGGAAUUCCUAGUGUAGCGGUGAAAUGCGUAGAUAUUAGGAGGAACACCAGUGGCGAAGGCGGCCUGCUGGACUGUUACUGACGCUGAGGCACGAAAGCGUGGGGAGCAAACAGGAUUAGAUACCCUGGUA
This 434-nucleotide ribosomal RNA is filed under the name uncultured Lachnospiraceae bacterium. RNAcentral's name for it is "partial 16S ribosomal RNA". It matches the Rfam family "Bacterial small subunit ribosomal RNA", at positions 341 to 792 of the family's 1533-position model. The record is from RNAcentral. Lineage: Bacteria; Bacillati; Bacillota; Clostridia; Lachnospirales; Lachnospiraceae.